Molecule: long non-coding RNA, 944 nt
Organism: Musca domestica (house fly)
Lineage: Eukaryota; Metazoa; Arthropoda; Insecta; Diptera; Muscidae
Exons: 3
Source: RefSeq, a predicted model, not a curated record
UCCAAAAUGGCGGCAAAAACACACAUACACACACAAAAGAGAAACGAAAUGUCAGAAUAUGCGGAAUAAAAGAAAAUGAGAUUGGUAGUAAAGGAAAGAGAAAUAAUUGGGAAAAUACAGCAAAAAAGCUUAAAUGAAUGAAGAAAACUAUUUGCUCUUGGAAAGUAUGUAAUAUUGCAACGCAAAAAAGCGAUUUUAGGCGAGGAAUAGAAAAAAUAAUACGGUUGCAUAGUGAAAUGGACUAUGAAAAGCAUAAAGAUGUGUUUUUGCAAGUAAGAAAACGAACAAAUAUAAUGCAAUGGUGGAAGUAAUAGGAUCACUUUUUGCGACGCUAUUAUGGCGUAUAAUGUGCUUCAAUCAACAUCCAAAUGGAUUAAAUUACGGCUAGAUAUUAGGAAAGAUGAUGGACUAUAGUGCUAAUGAAUUGGUGGAAAUGAAAUCGAUAAACUUUCCACUGGAAUCUCGAAAAAUGCAGCUUGUGAAAUUGUCUCUCAUCUGAGAAUAAUGCACUGGAAGUUUAUCAUCAAAUAUCACGGGUGUUUAUAUUGCAAUUGACGGAUAAAAUGGACAAUCGGAUAUUACAUCAGCGCCACGGAUUUUAUCGAGGAAAUCUAUGGAAUUUCCUUCAUUUAAAUUCAAUGCAAGUACUUAAGGCGAAUUAAAUGCGAUAUUGGAUACUUGUGACCAAGAGAAAGAAGGCGCUGAAGGAUCGUUCUUUUGGCAACGACAUUAGCAGUGCAUCUUAUUUUUAUCUGGCAAAGGAGGACGCUUAGUGAAAUUCUGGUACAUUAACGUAUCUUUGAGGAAUUUUAUAAUAAGAAAUCAUGGAAUUCGCUUGGCAUAAACGUAGCGAAAAAGUAUAAUGUAAUUUGUGCCUUUUACUUACCAUUAUUAUACCAUCAAAUUUGUCAUUAAAAAUUGAAAAAUAGUUUAUGUUUCAGCCA